AACGCACCUUGCGCUCCUUGGUAUUCCGAGGAGCAUGCCUGUUUGAGUGUCUUGAAAUCAUCAAACCCCUCUGGUUUCUGCUGGAGCGGGUUUGGACUUGGGGGUUUUGCUGCCUCUGGCGGCUCCCCUUAAAUGAAUCGGUCGGGCUUUCGUGUGGCUUGUCCCUUGGCGUUGUAUCAACCUCGUCGCUGGAUGGCUCGCGAGCUUUAGCGCCCCUCCAAGACCAGCCUCUGGAGUGGCGGUCAACUUCAAUUUGUGAUCUGACCUCAAAUCAGGUAGGACUACCCGCUGAACUUAA
This 298-nucleotide unclassified non-coding RNA is filed under the name uncultured fungus. RNAcentral describes it as "partial contains 5.8S ribosomal RNA, internal transcribed spacer 2, and large subunit ribosomal RNA". The stretch from base 1 to 52 matches the Rfam family "5.8S ribosomal RNA", at positions 103 to 154 of the family's 154-position model. The record is from RNAcentral. RNAcentral also lists the same sequence under 1 other name. Lineage: Eukaryota; Fungi.